RNAcentral lists this ribosomal RNA (396 nucleotides) under Candidatus Wolbachia massiliensis. RNAcentral's name for it is "bacterial SSU rRNA". It matches the Rfam family "Bacterial small subunit ribosomal RNA", at positions 1013 to 1407 of the family's 1533-position model. Lineage: Bacteria; Pseudomonadati; Pseudomonadota; Alphaproteobacteria; Rickettsiales; Anaplasmataceae. The record is from RNAcentral.
GGUCGGUUCGGCCGGAUUUCACACAGGUGUUGCAUGGCUGUCGUCAGCUCGUGUCGUGAGAUGUUGGGUUAAGUCCCGCAACGAGCGUAACCCUCAUUCUUAGUUGCCAUCAGGUAAUGCUGGGGACUUUAAGGAAACUGCCAGUGAUAAACUGGAGGAAGGUGGGGAUGAUGUCAAGUCAUCAUGGCCCUUAUGGAGUGGGCUACACACGUGCUACAAUGGUGGCUACAAUGGGCUGCAAAGUCGCGAGGCCAAGCUAAUCCCUUAAAAGCCAUCUCAGUUCGGAUUGUACUCUGCAACUCGAGUGCAUGAAGUUGGAAUCGCUAGUAAUCGUGGAUCAGCACGCCACGGUGAAUACGUUCUCGGGUCUUGUACACACUGCCCGUCACGCCAUGG